ACAUGGUUCUCUCUACUCACAGAAACUGUGAUUAAACAUGAAAUUCUUGCUGAAAAAUGAUACCAAGAUACAAUGUGCACUUCCUUUCCAGUGGGAAAAAAAUUGGAGGCAUCACUUUUGGAGCCGUCCAUGUGUACCUCAUCUGUUCAUUGAUCAUCCUUGCAAAAUUCUAUUUCUUGUCAGCUGUGUAUAUGAAAGUUCUCAGUUUUGCACAUGACAGACCACCACCAUAUAUCUUUCUCCUCAUCAAUACAAACAGUUGGAAGAGUUAAAGGUCUACAGAUUCAGUCCUGCGUUCGUAUGUGGAAUUCUACACAGCAAAAGGCACAAAUCAUCUUGACAUCUGAAAACAGCUGCC
Centrocercus urophasianus (Greater sage-grouse) is the source of this 358-nucleotide long non-coding RNA. RefSeq lists it as uncharacterized. Lineage: Eukaryota; Metazoa; Chordata; Aves; Galliformes; Phasianidae. The transcript is spliced from 4 exons. The record is from RefSeq and is a predicted model, not a curated record.